This 253-nucleotide ribosomal RNA is filed under the name uncultured bacterium. RNAcentral describes it as "partial 16S ribosomal RNA". It matches the Rfam family "Bacterial small subunit ribosomal RNA", at positions 524 to 776 of the family's 1533-position model. The record is from RNAcentral.
UACGUAGGGUGCGAGCGUUAAUCGGAAUUACUGGGCGUAAAGCGUGCGCAGGCGGUUUGUUAAGACCGAUGUGAAAUCCCCGGGCUUAACCUGGGAACUGCAUUGGUGACUGGCAGGCUAGAGUAUGGCAGAGGGGGGUAGAAUUCCACGUGUAGCAGUGAAAUGCGUAGAGAUGUGGAGGAAUACCGAUGGCGAAGGCAGCCCCCUGGGCCAAUACUGACGCUCAUGCACGAAAGCGUGGGGAGCAAACAGG